This 269-nucleotide ribosomal RNA is filed under the name unidentified marine bacterioplankton. Its description in RNAcentral is "partial 16S ribosomal RNA". It matches the Rfam family "Bacterial small subunit ribosomal RNA", at positions 69 to 339 of the family's 1533-position model. RNAcentral also lists the same sequence under 1 other name. The record is from RNAcentral.
AUGAUUAAGAGCUUGCUCUUAUGAUUAGUGGCGCACGGGUGAGUAAUAUAUAGGUAAUGUGCCUCUUAGUCUGGGAUAGCCAUUGGAAACGAUGAUUAAUACUAGAUACUCCUUCUAACUAUAAAGUUAGUCGGGAAAGUUUUUUCGCUAAGAGAUCAGCCUAUAUCCCAUCAGUUAGUUGGUAGGGUAAUGGCCUACCAAGACAAUGACGGGUAGCGGGUUUGAGAGGAUGAUCCGCCACACUGGUACUGAGACACGGACCAGACUCC